UACAUGUGGGGCAAGCGUUGUUCGGAAUUACUGGGCAUAAAGGGUGCGUAGGUGGCUUGUUAAGUCAGGGGUGAAAGUUUUCGGCCCAACCGGAAAAUGGCCUUUGAUACUGGCGAGCUCGAGUGCGUGAGGGGUAACCGGAACGAGCAGUGUAGCGGUGAAAUGCGUAGAUAUUGCUCGGAAGGCCAACGGCGAAGGCAGGUUACUGGUACGCAACUGACACUGAGGCACGAAAGCGUGGGGAGCGAACCGGG
RNAcentral lists this ribosomal RNA (254 nucleotides) under uncultured bacterium. Its description in RNAcentral is "partial 16S ribosomal RNA". It matches the Rfam family "Bacterial small subunit ribosomal RNA", at positions 524 to 777 of the family's 1533-position model. The record is from RNAcentral.